RNAcentral lists this ribosomal RNA (460 nucleotides) under uncultured bacterium. RNAcentral's name for it is "partial 16S ribosomal RNA". It matches the Rfam family "Bacterial small subunit ribosomal RNA", at positions 338 to 795 of the family's 1533-position model. The record is from RNAcentral.
CCUACGGGAGGCUGCAGUGAGGAAUAUUGGUCAAUGGUCGAGAGUCUGAACCAGCCAAGCCGCGUGAGGGAUGAAUGUUCUGAGUAUUGUAAACCUCUUUUAUCAGGGAACAAAGGCAGGAACGUGUCCCCGUAUGAGUGUACCCGACGAAAAAGGAUCGGCUAACUCCGUGCCAGCAGCCGCGGUAAUACGGAGGUUGCGAGCGUUAUCCGGAUUCAUUGGGUUUAAAGGGCGCGGAGGGGGUGUGUUAAGUCCGGGGGCAAAGCCCCGGGCUCAACCCCAGCACCGCAGUUGAUACUGGCAGUCUAGAGUAGGGGAGAGGUAAGCGGAAUUCGCGGUGUAGCGGUGAAAUGCGUAGAUAUCGCGAAGAACUCCGAUGGCGAAGGCAGCUUGCCGGAUCCGCACUGACGCUGAGGCACGAAAGCGUGGGUAGCGAACAGGAUUAGAUACCCUUGUAGUC